RNAcentral lists this small nuclear RNA (107 nucleotides) under Octopus vulgaris (common octopus). The record is from RNAcentral. Lineage: Eukaryota; Metazoa; Mollusca; Cephalopoda; Octopoda; Octopodidae. RNAcentral also lists the same sequence under 1 other name.
GUAUUUGCUUCAGCAGUACAUAUACUAAAAUUGGAACGAUACAGAGAAGAUUAGCAUAGCCCCUGCGUAAGGAUGACAUGCAAAUUUGUGAAGCGUUCCAUUUUUUU